AUUGAACGCUGGCGGCAUGCCUUACACAUGCAAGUCGAACGGCAGCACGGGUGCUUGCACCUGGUGGCGAGUGGCGAACGGGUGAGUAAUACAUCGGAACGAACCUUAUCGUGGGGGAUAACGCAGCGAAAGUUGCGCUAAUACCGCAUACGCCCUGAGGGGGAAAGCGGGGGACCGUAAGGCCUCGCGCGAUUAGAGCGGCCGAUGUCUGAUUAGCUUGUUGGGGAGGUAAAAGCUCACCAAGGCGAUGAUUAGUAGCUGGGCUGAGAGGACGAUCAGCCACACUGGAACUGAGAAACGGACCAGACUCCUACAGGAGGCAGCAGUGGGGAAUUUUGGACAAUGGUAUCAACCCUGAUCCAGCAAUGCCGCGUGAGUGAAGAAGGCCUUCGGGUUGUAAAGCUCUUUUGUCAGGGAAGAAACAGCAGCUCUAACACAGUCUGCGAAUGACGGUACCUGAAGAAUAAGCACCGGCUAACUACGUGCCAGCCGCCGCAGUAA
Molecule: ribosomal RNA, 501 nt
Filed under: uncultured bacterium
Lineage: Bacteria
Description: partial 16S ribosomal RNA
Rfam family: Bacterial small subunit ribosomal RNA
Source: RNAcentral